This 264-nucleotide unclassified non-coding RNA is filed under the name uncultured fungus. Its description in RNAcentral is "sequence contains ITS1". Lineage: Eukaryota; Fungi. The record is from RNAcentral.
GUAUUGUUUCAAUUUAUAGCCCGUGGGCGUUGUACAUUCGGUAGACUGUAUGCGUUUGUGAAGUGUUAAAGAAGAGCGACCCCGGCCCGGAGCGAAUCCGGGCUGCUCCCCCGGGGGGGGGGGGAGGAUCACGCCUUCGAUAAUGUUAAGUGCACGGGUGUUGAGUGGAUUGAGAGCGGGGCGAGCACAUGCCCCCUGGGGGGCCAGCGUCAAACCCACUUCAAAGACUCGGUAAUGAUCCUUCCGCAGGUUCACCUACGGAAA